This 477-nucleotide ribosomal RNA is filed under the name uncultured bacterium. Its description in RNAcentral is "partial 16S ribosomal RNA". It matches the Rfam family "Bacterial small subunit ribosomal RNA", at positions 30 to 507 of the family's 1533-position model. The record is from RNAcentral.
AUUGAACGCUGGCGGCAUGCCUUACACAUGCAAGUCGAACGGUAACAGGUUAAGCUGACGAGUGGCGAACGGGUGAGUAAUGUAUCGGAACGUGCCCAGUCGUGGGGGAUAACUGCUCGAAAGAGCAGCUAAUACCGCAUACGACCUGAGGGUGAAAGCGGGGGAUCGCAAGACCUCGCGCGAUUGGAGCGGCCGAUAUCAGAUUAGGUAGUUGGUGAGGUAAAGGCUCACCAAGCCGACGAUCUGUAGCUGGUCUGAGAGGACGACCAGCCACACUGGGACUGAGACACGGCCCAGACUCCUACGGGAGGCAGCAGUGGGGAAUUUUGGACAAUGGGCGCAAGCCUGAUCCAGCCAUGCCGCGUGCGGGAAGAAGGCCUUCGGGUUGUAUACCGCUUUUGUCAGGGAAGAAAAGGUUCUGGCUAAUACCUGGGACUCAUGACGGUACCUGAAGAAUAAGCACCGGCUAACUACGUG